Camellia sinensis is the source of this 1909-nucleotide non-coding RNA. Lineage: Eukaryota; Viridiplantae; Streptophyta; Magnoliopsida; Ericales; Theaceae. The record is from RefSeq and is a predicted model, not a curated record.
GCUUCUUAUCCAAUUUUUGGGGCUGCAAAAAAUAAACUUUGUCAGCCUCUGACCAGUAAGCAAGUGAAACUCUACUAUCCUUGCAUUACCCACUUCAAAUUAAUCAAACUAAAAGCAAGUCAAGAGCAGCUUCUUAGAGUCAGACAUGGCAGUUUCAUCACUCUCAAUGACCUUGGCCCCAUCAUCAUCAUCCUCCUCCAAUAGGUUCAAUGUGCCCCAUUCAUACAGUUGAACUAGGGUUACUGCAAUUUUUCCACAAAACAUUAUCACAUGUUCAGGAGACACAACUUAUGAUGAAGACAGUAAGAUUACCACUCUUUAUCUCUUCACUUUUUCUUCUCCCUACAAAUCCCUUCACAUAUCCAAUAUCCAAACAUAGCUCAAGCAUUUUACUUCUUGUUUUUUAUGAGUGACAUGGGAUUUGCUUAUAUGUCUUUGAUGUAAUAAUGAUUUCUUGAAGAAUUUACUUCAUAACAAAUUCUUCUGGUCUUGUGAAUUCUGAAAUUAGGGCUGUAAAUUUGAUGCAAAAUUGCUAGUUAUGCCAAAGCUCUUAUGAUUAGUUUGAAUUGAGAUGGAGGUAUUUGUGUUAAUGCAUUUCUCCAAGCUCUUAUGAUUACAUUAUUUUCAUGAGGAAUGGCAUUUUGCUUAUGUUAUCUUACAAUCCUAUGCAUAAUUUUUGUUUUUUAGAUAUACCACAUUAAUGUGUGCAUAAUUUAUGAAGUCUGUUGUUUAGGAAUUUGAUUUCAGAGGGCACGAUUCUGCAUUCAAAGACCGAUAUCUGCAAUUACAAAAUGUUCGGGUGAGCGUUGGGAAUGCCCUGCACUCAAAUUUCUCUGACAACCCUGACCAAGAAUCUAUUAAACAGGAAAAGCUGAUCCUUGGAAUGCUGAGCCCUAUCGAUGAAUUCUCCAACAUAAAUAGUAGGAACAACCAGUGAAUGAUACUAAACAGAAAGCAAAGGUGUGAUGUCUGAAAGUUGAUUGCUUGAAGAGGUAAUAUGUUAGUAACUUGAGAUCCUUUGUGAUUGUUAAUGUUAAUUGGAUGGUUAUAGGCAAUGUAUGAAGAAGUUUAUGACAAGCUCACAUGUGAUUGAUCCGUGUUACAUCUAGUGAUUCUUUAAGGAUGUAUGGCCUGCAGCCCAUCGUUUUGGCCCGGGUCCAGUCUCGCCCUCCUAUCUCAGAAGUGAACAGGCUUGCAACAUGUUGAGAAGUGCUUAGAUGUAGUUGCUACUUUGCAACCUAAGAAGGGUACUGGCGAGGCAUUAUUAGUUGAUUUUGAAGUGUCAGAAGGCAUCUAUUCCCGAGCAUGCAUCGAGGAUACUGAUUCAGUAUGUUUAUGGCUGGGAGCAAAUGUCAUGCUGGAGUACUCAUGUGAAGAGGCCACUGAUCUUCUACAAAAGAAUUUGGAAAAUGCUAGAGCUAGUUUAGAAGUUCUUGUUACAGAUCUACAAUUCUUAAGGGAUCAAGUGACCAUUACUCAGGUGUUGCAGGCCCAAGUGGAUAUGGAUCAAACUCAACAGCUGAGCAAGUUACUCAACAAGAUUGUUCUUUCUUACUCCCUUCUUCUCAAGCUCAACUCACUGCAUUAGUCACUGGUUAGUCAUCUCAUCUCCAACCACACACAAACACACAACACAUACACAAACUUCUUUAUGAUGAAGAACAGUGCCCAUUUCCCCCCCUUCUGAAUCUGGUCUUCAUUUAAACAUACACAUUCUGAUCUGUCCAUGAGAGAGACUUCAUUAUAUAUUUAGAAAUGCAUCAAGUUUGAUAUUGUUGCAGAAUUUUUAUGUUCUUUUUUUUUUCUUCCUAUAUUUUUAUUUGUUUAUUUCUUCUUCUUCUUCUUCUUCUUCUUCUUCUUCUUUUUGUAGUUUUGUGAGUUCACAAAAUUGAAGUAGGGUUUCAGAGAA